Molecule: ribosomal RNA, 383 nt
Filed under: uncultured bacterium
Lineage: Bacteria
Description: bacterial SSU rRNA
Rfam family: Bacterial small subunit ribosomal RNA
Source: RNAcentral
AUUGAACGCUGGCGGCAUGCCUUACACAUGCAAGUCGAACGGCAGCACGGGAGCAAUCCUGGUGGCGAGUGGCGAACGGGUGAGUAAUAUAUCGGAACGUGCCCAGUCGUGGGGAUAACGUAGCGAAAGCUACGCUAAUACCGCAUACGAUCUAUGGAUGAAAGCGGGGGAUCGCAAGACCUCGCGCGAUUGGAGCGGCCGAUAUCAGAUUAGGUAGUUGGUGAGGUAAAGGCUCACCAAGCCGACGAUCUGUAGCUGGUCUGAGAGGACGACCAGCCACACUGGGACUGAGACACGGCCCAGACUCCUACGGGAGGCAGCAGUGGGGAAUUUUUGGACAAUGGGCGCAAGACCUGAUCCAGCAAUGCCGCGUGCAGGAUGAA